CACGAAGUUAGCCGGGGCUUCUUCUCACGCUACCGUCAUCAUCGUCGCGUGCGAAAGAGCUUUACAACCCGAAGGCCUUCAUCACUCACGCGGCAUUGUUGGAUCAGGCUUGCGCCCAUUGUCCAAUAUUCCCCACUGCUGCCUCCCGUAGGAGUCUGGGCCGUGUCUCAGUCCCAGUGUGGCUGAUCAUCCUCUCAGACCAGCUAAGGAUCGUUGCCUUGGUAGGCCGUUACCCCACCAACAAGCUAAUCCUACGCGGGCCCAUCCCAUGGCGAUAAAUCUUUGUCCCUCAAGACACAUACGGUAUUAGCUCCAGUUUCCCGGAGUUAUUCCGUACCACAGGGCAGGUUCCCACGCGUUACUCACCCGUGCGCCACUAGGGCCGAAGCCCUCGUUCGACUUGCAUGUGUUAGGCAUGCCGCCAGCGUUCGUUCUGAGCCAGGAUCAAACUCU
This 453-nucleotide ribosomal RNA is filed under the name uncultured Skermanella sp. RNAcentral describes it as "partial 16S ribosomal RNA". The record is from RNAcentral. Lineage: Bacteria; Pseudomonadati; Pseudomonadota; Alphaproteobacteria; Rhodospirillales; Azospirillaceae.